GGAUGUGAGGAUGAUCUGACUGCAACAUCUGUCACCCCAGUUAUCCCCAGGGUUGAUUCAGCUGAUCUGGCUGGCUUAGGCGGGUGUCCCCUUCCUCCCUCACCUCUCCAUAUUCGUCCCUCCCGAAGCUGCACGCUCAGUGGAAGAGGAUGGCCUUCCGCAAUAGAGACAGACGGACCUGUCUUCAGUCAGGGCAUAGGAGUAGCUGUGCUCCCCUGCUAGAACCUCCAAACAAGCUCUCAAGAAAAGUGAAUCAGAAACACACCAGAGGAACCAGGCACUGUUUCCCUUAUAGGAGAGAGAAGAGGGGAAAAGGAAGGACACUCAGAAGU
Molecule: small nuclear RNA, 332 nt
Filed under: Erinaceus europaeus (western European hedgehog)
Lineage: Eukaryota; Metazoa; Chordata; Mammalia; Eulipotyphla; Erinaceidae
Description: 7SK RNA
Rfam family: 7SK RNA
About the family: 7SK was discovered as an abundant small nuclear RNA in the mid-70s but a possible function has only recently been suggested. Two independent studies have found that 7SK RNA binds the CDK9/cyclin T complex (known as elongation factor P-TEFb). P-TEFb activates transcription by phosphorylating the C-terminal domain of RNA polymerase II.
Source: Rfam by way of RNAcentral